RNAcentral lists this ribosomal RNA (448 nucleotides) under uncultured bacterium. RNAcentral's name for it is "bacterial SSU rRNA". It matches the Rfam family "Bacterial small subunit ribosomal RNA", at positions 328 to 793 of the family's 1533-position model. The record is from RNAcentral.
AGUCCAGACUCCUACGGGAGGCAGCAGUGGGGAAUAUUGGACAAUGGGGGAAACCCUGAUCCAGCGACGCCGCGUGAGUGAAGAAGUAUUUCGGUACGUAAAGCUCUAUCAGCAGGAAAGAAAAUGACGGUACCUGACUAAGAAGCCCCGGCUAACUACGUGCCAGCAGCCGCGGUAAUACGUAGGGGGCAAGCGUUAUCCGGAUUUACUGGGUGUAAAGGGAGCGUAGACGGCAGCGCAAGUCUGGAGUGAAAUGCCGGGGCCCAACCCCGGAACUGCUCUGGAAACUGUGAAGCUGGAGUGCAGGAGAGGUAAGCGGAAUUCCUGGUGUAGCGGUGAAAUGCGUAGAUAUUAGGAGGAACACCAGUGGCGAAGGCGGCUUGCUGGACUGUAAAUGACGCUGAGGCUCGAAAGCGUGGGGAGCAAACAGGAUUAGAUACCCGAGUAC